Molecule: long non-coding RNA, 4084 nt
Organism: Hypanus sabinus (Atlantic stingray)
Lineage: Eukaryota; Metazoa; Chordata; Chondrichthyes; Myliobatiformes; Dasyatidae
Exons: 4
Source: RefSeq, a predicted model, not a curated record
UCUCCCCAAUUCUGAAGUUUGGUUUGAACAACAACUGAACCUCUUGACUAUAACUACAUGCUUUAAUGCAUUGAAUUGCUGCCACCUGAUUGACUAAUUAGAUAUUUGUUUGCAUUAAUAAGCAGGUGUGCAGGUGCACCUAAUAAUGUGGUCACUGAGUGUAGGACAUAGCUAUAUACAAAGACUGGGAUCUACAGUCAACUUGCUAUUAAAAGAAAAUCAUAUUUAUGCAGUACAGGAAUACAAGCAAUUCCAAUUUGAUAUUUUAAUUCACAGAGACAAAUACUGUAUUUCACUGGCCCUCCCACUCCCACUUGCUGGUUGAAUGAUAAUACUCUGACCUUUCCCUCUCAUGAUUGAAGAUUGAACACACACAGAACAGCUUUAGAUAAAAUCUACCUAUACUUAUGAGCAUAUGUGCACUGACGAUUUUUUAAAAAGUAUAUUUGCACUAGUGCAUAUAUGUACGUAAGACUAAAUGACUCCAGUUUGAUAACUUAUUUGACAGCAUGCUUCAAGUACAAAAUAUUUAAUUAAACCUUGGAUUUGUAAGUGAGGGUGCUAUAUAUAAUUAAAUUGCUUCCUGCUUGGAUUGGAAGCAUGAUGGCAAGGAGGAGCCAGGCGAUUGUUUCAUUGUAAGGAGAUUUGGAGAGCUUGUGUCAAUCCAGGAUUUCCAGUAUGAGAUAAAUACCAUCCCCUUUUAAUAUUCAGAACUGCAGGCAACCCGUCCUUUUGGAGAAUGGUUUGAGGUUGCAGCAAUUCUGUAUAAUUAUGAAAGAGGGUAACUCAAACAAUAUUCUUCAAAACAGAUACUUGAGAAAUGUUUAACUGCAUUAAGUUUGAACCUUUCCUGCAUCUGAUGGAUUAACUUUUCUAACCAUUGAGUCAAAAGCAUUCAAGUACACACAUUCACAAGGUAUUAUUUUAUAUUCUCAGUGAAACCUAGAUACAAAAAUGUGAUUUAAAAAGCACAGGAUAGCCCUUGUGAUUUCACCCACACGUUGUGGAGACACAAGAGACUGCAGACGCUGGUAUCUGGAGCAAGUCUCUUUCUAAUGCAGGAUUUUCACUGAAAAUGUCAAUGCUCCUUUUCAAAAACAUAAGAAAAUCUGCAGAUGCUGGAAAUGUAAGCAACACACAUGAAAUGCAGGAGGAACGUGGCAGGCCAGGCAGCAUCUAUGCAAAAGAGUAAACAGUUGAGGUUUCUGUCCUGAUGAAAGGUCUCGGCCUGAAAAGUUGACUGUUUACUUUUUUUUCCCACGGGUGCUGUCUGGCCUGCUGAGUUCCUCCAGCAUUUUGUGUGUGUUGCAACAAUCCCUUUCUUCCCACUGAUCCUGACUAACACAUUGAGUUCUUCCAGCAGAUUGUGUUUUACAGCUUUAUGAGAGGCACUGAUCUAGGUGGUAGACUGGAUGGCCCUUGAUAUCGGGAGAAGUGGAUAAAGGCUUGCAUUUAUUGCCCAUUCCUAUAUGCCUGAGAAGAUGGUGAAAUGACUGUAGUUCAGGAAAUGGAAAGGAAGGAAAAUCACAGGGAGAUUACAAUCGCCAGGGAAGUCAUGUCGAGGAAAUUAUUGGAGCUGUGGGCUGACACAUCUUUGCAUCUUUAUGGACUUCAACCUGGCAGCUCAAGAGGAUGAGCAGCAAUUUAAACCAAAUUCCCAAGCAUUUGCAUAAAAUAUCAGGUUGGAUCUUGCUGUCCCUGGCCUGCUGCCUGCAGUCCCCACCUGACUGAGUUGGAAAUGGAAUAUCAAUCUCACUGGCCUGCCACACAUUCAAGUUGAAUACUGAGGGUUGAAUACUCCUCAUGGCCUCAGGAAGUGCAGGAGAGCAAACACCCUACCUACCCUGAUAAACUGCUGCCUGUGCUUGACAGAUGUUAAGGCAGCUGCUGCUGCAGUGGAAUUAAUCAUGAUGGCUUCAGGAAUCUGGCCUGAGAAGGAGCAAAAGUUAAAAUCCACUAAGGCUCCGAAUUGGUAACUCUAUUCCUCUGGAAAAUUAAUGGAUAUGAACAUCAGAUGCUCUCCUGAUUCCCAGAUAACUACUAGGAUGUACAGUAGAAAAUAGGAGGGCAACAGUGCUUGUGCAUGAACAGGGAAGGAAAAAAAGGCAGUAACUGUAAAAACUGAAGAACUUCAUGUUCCAUAUGUAAAACAGCAACAACUAAGGACAAUUGGUUGUGAAAGGGUAAAAGGAACAUUCAUCGAAAAUUAAUUUUGAUGGAAAUAUUGUUGCUUGACUUGACUCUCUAGGACUAAAUUAGAUCUAGAAAACAAUUUUCCGUAAGCUGAAUACCAAGCAAAAUUGUGGAAUGUAGAUCUCAGAGGGCAAUCGGCAUUUGUGAAGACAACAGGUAUAAGUCAAUGUUUUGGGUAGGGACCAUGCAUCAAUCUGUUUCUCCUUCCAGAUUCCAACACCUGCAGUCUUUUCUCUUCACUCAGCAAAAUUAACUGUAGUUGUACCAUGGAGAGCAUUCUGACAGGCUGCAUCACUGUCUGGUAUGGAGGGGCUACUGCACAGGACCGAAAGAAGCUGCAGAAGGUUGUAAAUCUAGUCAGCUCCAUUUUAGGCACUAGCCUACAAAGUGCCCAGGACAUCUUUAGGAAGCGGUAUCUCAGCAUCCACUAUUAAGGACCUCCAGCAUCCAGGGCAUGCCCUUUUCUCACUGUUACCAUCGGGCAAGAGAUACAGAAGCCUGAAGGCACACACACAGCGAUUCAGGAACAGCUUCUUACCCUCUGGCAAAUGAUUCCUAAAUGGACAUUGAAGCUUUGGACACUACCUCACUUUUUUUAAUAUACAGUAUUUUUGUUUUUGCACAUCUUUAAAAAAUCUAUUCAAUAUACAUAAUUGAUUUUCUUGUUUAUUUAUUAUUGCAUUAUAUAUUUUUUAUUAUUAUUUUCUCUGUCUGCUAGAUUAUGUAUUGCAUUGAACUGGUGCUGUUAAGUUAACAAUUUUCACGUCACAUGCCGGUGAUAAUAAACCUGAUUCUGAUUCUGAAUCGUACUACUGAUAAAAUAACUGAGUAAAUAUGUGAACUUCAAGGGGCAAUUUUAAGCUGCUGGGAGCACAGAGCACAUUGUAGUUGCAGAGAUCAAUGAGUUCAGUAGGUCCCAGAGCAGCAUUCUGUGUGACAGCUGAUCUCUGCAUGGGAAAUCCUUACCCGCACUUUGCAUCAGGAGCACAAAUUCAGUUUACCUUUGUAAGACAAAUGUUUAUUAAUUUAAAUAAAAUUCUCCUCUCUCUCAUUGCCAAAUGUUAUAUUACUGUUAUUCAAGCAAUGUAACAAAUAAUUGGAAACAUCUGCAGACUUAUUAAUAAAGUUGUUAUAGCCAGGGAUGGUACUGAUGAUAAGCCCCCACUACCUAUUAAAUACUCCCAAUGGCGUGCAUCUCAAAUAGUUUUUGAUAACCAAGUCCAGCUCCUGGUCUUCACGUGUCGCUUAGCUACUAACCCCAGCAGAACCUUUUCUACUGACAAGAGAAGGGGCAAAGGCAGGCAUUUGGUGUCUGAAAACCAGUUGCUUUGGGCGGAUGGGUCUUAUCAGCUGUGGUUGGUAGCUUAUCCAGGAGAAGAAAAGCUCUGAUCUCAAACCUUGUAGCUAUACCCACUCAUGGGGAAAGCCUCAGGUAAUCCCCAAGGGAAAAUCUAAAUUUGGAGUCCCUAAAACAGGCCUACAUUGGAUUCAGCACUGACUGGCAAAGCCUGCGAUGUCGCAAGUGCCAAACCAUUUCAGUCUCUGCCGUUCCUUUAGAUUCAUCAGCUGCAUGAGGUGGGGGAGGGCUACUACAUGGACAAUAGCUUGCUUUCCAUUUUGUACUGGCUUGGCUUUUGUAUCAUAUAAAUAGCUGGGAUGCAACAACAAUGGUCAAACCCAACAGAGGGCCUCAAUUAAUAAAGAAAACAGUCCUCCUUUCACUUUGAAGUUACACAGUUAAAAUAUUGGCUGUAGACCAAUCAGGAACAAAAACAAUUCAGUAAUACAUUAUUGACCAACCCAUGAUGGUUGUUUAUUUAGGACUGUAACCCAUGUAAUGUUGUUACUUUAUGUAACAUGCUAGAUCAAUAAACAGAAUUAUUUCAAUGUC